Non-coding RNA from Vicia faba (fava bean), 267 nucleotides. Lineage: Eukaryota; Viridiplantae; Streptophyta; Magnoliopsida; Fabales; Fabaceae. The record is from the annotation of a GenBank genome assembly.
AUGGAAGCCAAAGAAAAAACCCCUGAAGUAACCAAUCUACCUACUGAACCUAAGCCUUCUUCUGAAGUAGCUCAUCCUGCUGAUCCUGCAAAAAGGAGAAGUAUGGUUUCUAAAGUUAUUGAGCAUGAGGAAGAAAAGAAAGAGGAAUGGAGGAGUGUCAACAAAAGUGCAAGAGAUAGAGGCAAAAGAAUGAAUGAAGGAUCACCAAGUCAUGAGAAAGGGUUUCCGCAACAAUUUGUAAAGUGGAAUGCUACCAAGGUAAAAUGA